GACGAACGCUGGCGGCGUGCUUAACACAUGCAAGUCGAACGGUAAGGCUCCAGCUUGCUGGGGUACACGAGUGGCGAACGGGUGAGUAACACGUGGGUGACCUGCCCUGCACUUCGGGAUAAGCCUGGGAAACUGGGUCUAAUACCGGAUAGGACCGCACCGUGAGGGUGUGGUGGAAAGUUUUUUCGGUGUGGGAUGGGCCCGCGGCCUAUCAGCUUGUUGGUGGGGUAAUGGCCUACCAAGGCGGCGACGGGUAGCCGGCCUGAGAGGGUGGACGGCCACAUUGGGACUGAGACACGGCCCAGACUCCUACGGGAGGCAGCAGUGGGGAAUAUUGCACAAUGGGCGGAAGCCUGAUGCAGCGACGCCGCGUGGGGGAUGACGGCCUUCGGGUUGUAAACUCCUUUCACCAUCGACGAAGGGUUUCUGACGGUAGAUGGAGAAGAAGCACCGGCUAACUACGUGCCAGCAGCCGCGGUAAUACGUAGGGUGCGAGCGUUGUCCGGAAUUACUGGGCGUAAAGAGCUCGUAGGUGGUUUGUCGCGUCGUCUGUGAAAUUCCGGGGCUUAACUCCGGGCGUGCAGGCGAUACGGGCAUAACUUGAGUACUGUAGGGGAGACUGGAAUUCCUGGUGUAGCGGUGAAAUGCGCAGAUAUCAGGAGGAACACCGGUGGCGAAGGCGGGUCUCUGGGCAGUAACUGACGCUGAGGAGCGAAAGCAUGGGGAGCGAACAGGAUUAGAUACCCUGGUAGUCCAUGCCGUAAACGGUGGGCGCUAGGUGUGGGUUUCCUUCCACGGGAUCCGUGCCGUAGCUAACGCAUUAAGCGCCCCGCCUGGGGAGUACGGCCGCAAGGCUAAAACUCAAAGGAAUUGACGGGGGCCCGCACAAGCGGCGGAGCAUGUGGAUUAAUUCGAUGCAACGCGAAGAACCUUACCUGGGCUUGACAUAUACAGGAUCGCGCCAGAGAUGGUGUUUCCCUUGUGGCUUGUAUACAGGUGGUGCAUGGUUGUCGUCAGCUCGUGUCGUGAGAUGUUGGGUUAAGUCCCGCAACGAGCGCAACCCUUGUCUUAUGUUGCCAGCACGUUGUGGUGGGGACUCGUAAGAAACUGCCGGGGUUAACUCGGAGGAAGGUGGGGAUGACGUCAAAUCAUCAUGCCCCUUAUGUCCAGGGCUUCACACAUGCUACAACGGUCGGUACAGUGGGUUGCCAGUCCGUGAGGGCGAGCUAAUCCCGCAAAGCCGGUCUCAGUUCGGAUCGGGGUCUGCAACUCGACCCCGUGAAGUCGGAGUCGCUAGUAAUCGCAGAUCAGCAACGCUGCGGUGAAUACGUUCCCGGGCCU
This 1341-nucleotide ribosomal RNA is filed under the name uncultured bacterium. RNAcentral's name for it is "partial 16S ribosomal RNA". It matches the Rfam family "Bacterial small subunit ribosomal RNA", at positions 28 to 1381 of the family's 1533-position model. The record is from RNAcentral.